RNAcentral lists this ribosomal RNA (449 nucleotides) under uncultured bacterium. RNAcentral's name for it is "partial 16S ribosomal RNA". It matches the Rfam family "Bacterial small subunit ribosomal RNA", at positions 29 to 523 of the family's 1533-position model. The record is from RNAcentral.
AACGAACGCUGGCGGCAUGCCUAACACAUGCAAGUCGAACGAGAUCUUCGGGUCUAGUGGCGCACGGGUGCGUAACGCGUGGGAAUCUGCCCUUUGGUUCGGAAUAACGGUUGGAAACGACUGCUAAUACCGGAUGAUGACGAAAGUCCAAAGAUUUAUCGCCGGAGGAUGAGCCCGCGUAGGAUUAGCUAGUUGGUGUGGUAAAGGCGCACCAAGGCGACGAUCCUUAGCUGGUCUGAGAGGAUGAUCAGCCACACUGGGACUGAGACACGGCCCAGACUCCUACGGGAGGCAGCAGUGGGGAAUAUUGGACAAUGGGCGAAAGCCUGAUCCAGCAAUGCCGCGUGAGUGAUGAAGGCCUUAGGGUUGUAAAGCUCUUUUACCCGGGAUGAUAAUGACAGUACCGGGAGAAUAAGCUCCGGCUAACUCCGUGCCAGCCGCCGCAGUAA